Molecule: ribosomal RNA, 113 nt
Filed under: Coturnix japonica (Japanese quail)
Lineage: Eukaryota; Metazoa; Chordata; Aves; Galliformes; Phasianidae
Source: RNAcentral
GCAUGUGGCUGUACCACUGAAAGCACAGCUGGGCCUCUGAUCUCGGAAGCUUUUAGGGUGGGCCUGUCUAGUACUUGGCUGGGAACCUGCUUGGAAAUACUGAAUGCUAUCCC